Long non-coding RNA from Python bivittatus (Burmese python), 3260 nucleotides. RefSeq lists it as uncharacterized. The record is from RefSeq and is a predicted model, not a curated record. Lineage: Eukaryota; Metazoa; Chordata; Lepidosauria; Squamata; Pythonidae.
CGGAGACGGCAUCUUCCUCCCUCCGCUCAGGUGACGGACAAACGCCCCAGAUUCCCCCAGCGCUGGCCCGGGAGCUUCCUCCUCCCUCCCUCGGGGUGGGGCCUCUCCCAGGUAGCCUUUUAACCCAGUGUGGUCACACACGUGAGCGUCUCUCUUUCUCUCACGCGCACACACGCAUGCUACACAGGCCAGCCGAGAGACCAACCAGCCACUCCUGUCUGGAUCCUCCGGGGCUGGAAAGCGGCAAGGGGGGGCCACGCAGGUCCUUUAGCUUGAAUGUCGCCUCUCGGCUUCCCAGAGCUGACCUUACUGGUCCAGGCGCCCCCAGGGCAGGCAGGACCACGAAAGCAGGCUGUGGGGGGAACCCAAAGGGAACCUCAAGUCGCUAGUCCCUUUGAAUCGAUCCUCCCCGGUGUUUGGAUGUCUUUGGACGUCAAUGAGCGCGACGUGCGUUUCCACGUUGCUCUGAUUCUGGAAACCCCUUUGCAGGCCUUUUGAUAUUGCGGCGAGGUAGGAAGAGUUAGAAAUUGUAAAAAAGAGGGUUUAGGAGUUGACAGUAAACUUUGCAGAGGAUUCCCAAGCUGGCCUCUCGUAAACCUCCGGUCUCUGCAGAAUUAUUUCCCCAGGACAGGUAGAGGCGGAGGAAUAGAUGGGAGUGAGCAAAGGGCAGUUCACACCCUAAACACACGCACACCUUUCGGAGUGAGUCACUGGCAGCCAGGAACCAACAGCAAAGAGAACUGGGCUGUCAGUGACCCAUGAAAACACACAAGGCUUACGCAACGUGGACGAAAUUGCUGACUAAUGGAGUCAUUCCCCAAGCCUUGCACCGGGCCAGCGAAAGGCCUGAAAACCAGCCCAAGAGAGAGAUUUGCAAGGCAACCCACCGCUCCCGAGGAGUCUUCUUGCUGCAUCUCUGCAUGAGAUGCUGUUCUGGGCUUGCUUCUCCUAAAAAAGCCUGGGGAGCAGGUUAUUUGCAGGUUCUGGGCUCGCUCUGACUGCAGGCGAGCAAACAAGUCAUGCUGAGGAUGGCAGGAGGAGCUCAGAGGUCCAGCCGAGGCUUCAGAGGAACACAACCCAUGCAGCUUGGCUACAGAGCAUUCUUCGUCUGCAAAAAAGAAAAAAGAAGUGAAAAGUCCUUGGUAACGGACGACAGCAGACCCCUUCCUGUUUUCGCUUUCGACUCGCAUCCUUAGGCUAAAAACUAAGGCCAGGCAAGAGGGGAAAGGCAACCGGUCUACCUCGCAGGGGCGUUGCAUCGAAUUCCAGCUGCUUGGGAGCGACGGCUUUGGGCCAAAAGGGCAGGCCCCCUGCGCUUCGCAAACCCUUUCCGAAAAUCAGACAUGCAUCGGCUGCGAAGCAGAUCGGGUGGAAAUUUAGCAGAAACCCAGACGUUGCCUGAGUGAAAGUCUCAUCCUGGGAAAUGGAGCAAUGCGGGUCUGAAAUAGUGCAAAGCCACCCGAGGGAGCUGCCCGCACAGGACCAAGCGCGGGGACCGGUUGCGAGGGACAGUAUUCAAACUCUCCUUUUCUGGCUUCGGAGCAGAAGUCACACGCCAUGGCGCCCCUUGCCAAGAGGCAGGGAAAGAAAGAAGGUUAAAAUCGAAAUGUCGAAUUUAAGGAGCCCGGACAGCCAGCGCUGACCUUCUGCCAGCCGGAUUCUCCCUGGUUUUGAAACUGGAAUUAAAGAAAAAAUAGAUGGAAGGAAGAGAUGGAACCUUUCCCAUCCUUGCUACAAUUCCCCAAACUCCUCUCUCCCCGUGCAGAUUUACUCACGAGGAAGUCCCCGAGUUCUGCCGCAGCAACUUCUGCGGAGGACUAGCUCGGCCCGGCUUCAGAUGGGCUCUGCCCCCUCUUCCCCGCAGAUCUCCCGGCUUUCGAACUCGGCACCCUCCCGAAGGGGCUCCCUGCUGCUCCCUUGGGAAGGAAGGGCAACGUGAAAAGGCAACUUCCAAGCUGAAAAUAAAGCUGGGGUGCAGGAGGGGGGUGUAUGCAUGGGGGGGAUGAAAAUCCUGCCCAUCAAGAGACAGAAGGCAUGGGGGUUGAUUUAAGCGUGACCCCCAAAAAGAGCUUGAAUCAGAUGUUCUUUUUUUUUCCUUUUUCUUCCUCUGGCUGGAGAGAGGCUGAAAGCCGAAUUGACGACCCCUCCCUCCCCCAAAAGAAAGGAAAAAGCAAAAGCCGUUUACCUCUUAGGGGAGAAGGGAGAUGCCGGAGCCCCCUCGGCCGGCACAAAACUUGCUGCAAUCUUUGGCUUCCCAGCAAAAAUGACAUUGCCCAAGCCCAGAACAAACCGCUCACCUCAGCAUACUUGCAACACUGCCGCAGCCGUGUAAAACCGGCGCUGCAGGAUUUUGCACACAUCCCAACGUGCGGGAGAAUCUUAAAGGGGAAGGCAGCCGCUCCAGGAGCCGGGAAGGUCAGCCUGGAAAGGAGGAAGGGGGGGAGGCACUGGGGCAGGGGCGCCACGCUGGCACCCUCAAGGUUGCCGGGAAGGAAGCCCCCCGUCGCCACCCCGGUCCGAUCCCCUCUGUUGCCCUCUAAAGCAUCUUCCUCCGGGGAGGUGGGCAAAAGGGGAUCCUUUGCUUCCUGGUGGCGCAAGGAUGCGCUCUAGCUGCGCAUGGCCCGGCUUGCAUGAAGGGGGGGCCGGCUGCCAACAGGAUCACUGCACCAGCCUCGUGCCAGCCCGUGCCCUUCGGCCUGGCAGCGAUUCCCGCUGCUGAUCCCCUUUUCGAGGUGUUCGCUACAAAGCAGUGAAGCCAUCAUAGUCAGAUUCGCUAGGAGGAUGAGCGUGACUACUAUUAUAUUAAACAGCAUUUCCAAUUGCCGGAGCAAGAUUUUCCUUCCAUCACAACCCACGGCUGGUAUUUGACCGGGGGCGUGGGGGGGGGCUCCGCUGUCUGAUUCGUGCAAGAUACCUGCGAAAACGCUUUAAACCAACAAACCAGCAUCAAUCCUGAGAUUUAAGCUAGCCUCGGUGUGGCUCGUCGGCAUAGCUCCUUCUGAGGAGCACACCCCCUUCUCCCAAGAAGAAAUGAGGAUUAUAGGGGACGAGUGGGCAACCUCGGGAGCUCUUGAGAUCAGCAUCGCCAAGAUGGGCACCUCUUGACCGGAGGGCAACGGGAUGUCAGUCUCUGAGAUGACGAUCAAGAGCAGGAAAACCUCGUUCAAGCCCCAAUCGCCCAUGAAACGUCUCGACAACCUUCCUUCUCUGGUUCUCCCCAAAUAAAACAAGAUGACUUGCAGUUAUGAGACAAAGCUCCA